GGUGAGCUACCCCGAGACAGCCUAUGUUAAUUUAGGGCUAACCCGUCUCUGUGGCAAAAGAGUGGGAAGAGCUCCGGGUAGAAGUGAAAGACCUACCGAACCUGGUGAUAGCUGGUUGACUGAGAAAUGGAUAGAAGUUCAGCCUCGCACACCCCAAACCAAAAAAUAUUAUUAUCAAGAUAUUUAGGGAUACGUACGAGAGUUAGUUAAAAGGGGUACAGCCCUUUUAACAAAGGAUACAACCUUUACAGGAGGAUAAAGAUCAUAAUGUGUAAGAUAUACUGUUCUAGUGGGCCUGAAAGCAGCCACCUAUACAGAAAGCGUUAAAGCUCGGACAGAAAGAAAUUUAUUAUUUAGAUAAAAAAUCUUAUUCCCCUAACUAUAUCAGACCAACCCAUGCCUACAUGGAAGAGAUUAUGCUAAAAUGAGUAAUAAGAAGACCCGCUCUUCUCCCAGCACAAGUGUAAGCCAGAUCGGACUAGCCACUGGAAUUUAACGAACCCAACCCAAGAGGGUAAUGUGAUCAACAAAAAACUCAAGAAGACCUCACAUUAAACAAUCGUUAACCCCACACUGGAGUGCUAUUUUAAGGGAAAGACUAAAAGAAGGGGAAGGAACUCGGCAAACACAAGCCUCGCCUGUUUACCAAAAACAUCGCCUCCUGCAACUGAACUGAGUAUAGGAGGUCCAGCCUGCCCAGUGACUACGGGUUCAACGGCCGCGGUAUCUUGACCGUGCAAAGGUAGCGCAAUCACUUGUCUCUUAAAUAGAGACCUGUAUGAAUGGCUAGACGAGGGCUUAACUGUCUCCCCCCUCCAGUCAGUGAAAUUGAUCUAUCCGUGCAGAAGCGGGUAUAAAUAUACAAGACGAGAAGACCCUUUGGAGCUUAAGGUACAAAUUCAACCACGUUAAACAACUCUAUAAGAAGCAAGAACUUAGUGAUACUGAAAUUUUACCUUCGGUUGGGGCGACCGCGGAGGAAAAACAAGCCUCCAAGUGGACUGGGCCAAACCCCUGAAGCUAAUAGAGACAUCUAUAGGACACAGAAUAUCUGACCAAAAAUGAUCCGGCUAAAAAGCCGAUCAACGAACCAAGUUACCCAAGGGAUAACAGCGCAAUCCCCUCCCAGAGCCCAUAUCUACGAGGGGGUUUACGACCUCGAUGUUGGAUCAGGACAUCCUAAUGGUGC
This 1189-nucleotide ribosomal RNA is filed under the name Rhynchocypris percnurus (lake minnow). RNAcentral describes it as "partial 16S ribosomal RNA". It matches the Rfam family "Bacterial large subunit ribosomal RNA", at positions 724 to 2556 of the family's 2925-position model. Lineage: Eukaryota; Metazoa; Chordata; Actinopteri; Cypriniformes; Leuciscidae. The record is from RNAcentral.